Molecule: ribosomal RNA, 503 nt
Filed under: uncultured bacterium
Lineage: Bacteria
Description: partial 16S ribosomal RNA
Rfam family: Bacterial small subunit ribosomal RNA
Source: RNAcentral
AUUGAACGCUGGCGGCAGGCUUAACACAUGCAAGUCGAGCGGGGUGAUGGUGCUUGCACUAUCACUUAGCGGCGGACGGGUGAGUAAUGCUUAGGAAUCUGCCUAUUAGUGGGGGACAACAUCUCGAAAGGGAUGCUAAUACCGCAUACGUCCUACGGGAGAAAGCAGGGGAUCACUUGUGACCUUGCGCUAAUAGAUGAGCCUAAGUCGGAUUAGCUAGUUGGUGGGGUAAAGGCCUACCAAGGCGACGAUCUGUAGCGGGUCUGAGAGGAUGAUCCGCCACACUGGGACUGAGACACGGCCCAGAAUCCUACGAGAGGCAGCAGUGGGGAAUAUUGGACAAUGGGGGGAACCCUGAUCCAGCCAUGCCACGUGUGUGAAGAAGGCCUUAUGGUUGUAAAGCACUUUAAGCGAGGAGGAGGCUCUUUUGGUUAAUACCCAAGAUGAGUGGACGUUACUCGCAGAAUAAGCACCGGCUAACUCUGUGCCAGCCGCCGCAGUAA